GCCAGUUUGGCUCAGUGGAUAGAGCAUUGGCCUGCGGACCCAAGAAUCCUGGGUUCGAUUCCGGUCAAGGGCA
This is a non-coding RNA of Myotis lucifugus (little brown bat), 73 nucleotides long. NCBI's taxonomy places the organism in Eukaryota, Metazoa, Chordata, Mammalia, Chiroptera, Vespertilionidae. The record is from Rfam.